CUGAAAGAGUUCUAAAAGCCAGGCAGAAGACAGGAGGGCAUGGGGGGGUUGGGGGAGUCCCGGAAGCUUGACAGUAAGGAUAAAGGCAUCACGGAGGAGGAGGUAUAACCUUUCGUCUGCCUCCUGUCUGGUGAAGACACUUGCAUGCUCCUUACCUGUCCUUGUAAGGUGUCAACCAGGGAACUCCACGCCCAGCCUCGACGUGGCAAUAUGGCCUUGCUUCUGCGUGAUGUCUGCAGAGCUGAACUCCGUACUCUCACCUUCCUUUUCAACUAACCUGCUACCCGACCUUGUCAGUUCAUUCACAUUAGGGAACAAAGCAUCUGUACUUUAAGACUGAUUUAUGAAUAUAUCCUGCCACAAACCAACGUAGCAUCCAGCCCGCUCCGUUCCAUGCCCGAUUCAAACACGGCGUCUGCCAGGAGCCCUCGGCUGAGAUGAGUUUGCGGUUUUGUUGUUUUGUUUUGCUUUGUUUUAAAAUACAGUAUGAAACGAUUUUACGUGAAAUUCCCAGGAAUAUAAUUUGGGGCGAAGACAAUCGAAUGCUUAAUGAACUCUCUUCCCGAGCCUGCUAUUUGUAUCCCCGGUGGCAUUCUCGGCUUUCAUGUCCUCGCACGGCGGAGGAGGAGCCAGGCCUGUGCUCGGCCCCUGGAGGAAAGCGGCCUGCGGAGGUGUGCAGUCCGGUGCUGGCCCUUCCCCCGCCACCCGGAGGCUCUUCAGGGGGGGCCCGGGGGACACACCCCGAGACAUCCCGAGCUGCUCUCCUCUUUCGGGGGAAGGACUUCCACCUCCUUGGCAGGUUGCUAAUAAACAUUCACAGCAGGAAGGGGGCCCUAUCUGGAGCCUGGAAGCUCAUUUAUAAGAAACUCUCAUGAAGUCAUCAGGGUCAAAGUUGACCUUCCUGUUAUUAAACUUGGCUGAGAAUGUG
Long non-coding RNA from Suricata suricatta (meerkat), 928 nucleotides. RefSeq lists it as uncharacterized. The transcript has 2 exons. The record is from RefSeq and is a predicted model, not a curated record. Lineage: Eukaryota; Metazoa; Chordata; Mammalia; Carnivora; Herpestidae.